This 615-nucleotide ribosomal RNA is filed under the name Salmonella enterica subsp. enterica serovar Dublin. RNAcentral's name for it is "partial 23S ribosomal RNA". It matches the Rfam family "Bacterial large subunit ribosomal RNA", at positions 1143 to 1757 of the family's 2925-position model. The record is from RNAcentral. Lineage: Bacteria; Pseudomonadati; Pseudomonadota; Gammaproteobacteria; Enterobacterales; Enterobacteriaceae.
CACUGGUCGAGUCGGCCUGCGCGGAAGAUGUAACGGGGCUAAACCAUGCACCGAAGCUGCGGCAGCGACGCUUAUGCGUUGUUGGGUAGGGGAGCGUUCUGUAAGCCUGUGAAGGUGGCCUGUGAGGGUUGCUGGAGGUAUCAGAAGUGCGAAUGCUGACAUAAGUAACGAUAAAGCGGGUGAAAAGCCCGCUCGCCGGAAGACCAAGGGUUCCUGUCCAACGUUAAUCGGGGCAGGGUGAGUCGACCCCUAAGGCGAGGCCGAAAGGCGUAGUCGAUGGGAAACGGGUUAAUAUUCCCGUACUUGGUGUUACUGCGAAGGGGGGACGGAGAAGGCUAUGUUGGCCGGGCGACGGUUGUCCCGGUUUAAGCGUGUAGGUGUGUGUUCCAGGUAAAUCCGGUUCACUUUAACACUGAGGCGUGAUGACGAGGCACUACGGUGCUGAAGUAACAAAUGCCCUGCUUCCAGGAAAAGCCUCUAAGCAUCAGGUAACAUCAAAUCGUACCCCAAACCGACACAGGUGGUCAGGUAGAGAAUACCAAGGCGCUUGAGAGAACUCGGGUGAAGGAACUAGGCAAAAUGGUGCCGUAACUUCGGGAGAAGGCACGCUGACAC